UACGAGGGGGGCGAGCGUUGUUCGGAAUUAUUGGGCGUAAAGGGUGCGUAGGCGGUUUGGUAAGUCUGAUGUGAAAUCUAUGGGCUCAACUCAUAGUCUGCAUCGGAAACUGCCGGGCUUGAGUGUGGGAGAGGUGAGUGGAAUUCCUGGUGUAGCGGUGAAAUGCGUAGAUAUCAGGAGGAACACCGAUGGCGAAGGCAGGUCUCUGGGCUGUAACUGACGCUGAGGAGCGAAAGCAUGGGGAGCGAACAGG
RNAcentral lists this ribosomal RNA (253 nucleotides) under uncultured bacterium. RNAcentral's name for it is "partial 16S ribosomal RNA". It matches the Rfam family "Bacterial small subunit ribosomal RNA", at positions 524 to 776 of the family's 1533-position model. The record is from RNAcentral.